RNAcentral lists this non-coding RNA (86 nucleotides) under Hathewaya proteolytica. RNAcentral's name for it is "Clostridium proteolyticum Fluoride sequence". It matches the Rfam family "Fluoride riboswitch aptamer (crcB RNA motif)". RNAcentral also lists the same sequence under 1 other name. Lineage: Bacteria; Bacillati; Bacillota; Clostridia; Eubacteriales; Clostridiaceae. The record is from RNAcentral.
AAAAGAUAAGGGAAUGAAGUUCUCCCUAGUAUAAUACUGUUGUAUUAUAUUUAAACCGCAUUUAUGCUGAUGACUUCUGCUAUUAU